GAUGAAGAACGCAGCGAAAUGCGAUAAGUAGUGUGAAUUGCAGAAUUCAGUGAAUCAUCGAAUCUUUGAACGCACAUUGCGCCCUUUGGUAUUCCAAAGGGCAUGCCUGUUCGAGCGUCAUUUGUACCCUCAAGCUUUGUUUGGUGUUGGGCGUCUUGUCUCUAGCUUUGCUGGAGACUCGCCUUAAAGUAAUUGGCAGCCGGCCUACUGGUUUCGGAGCGCAGCACAAGUCGCACUCUCUAUCAGCAAAGGUCUAGCAUCCAUUAAGCCUUUUUUUCAACUUUUGACCUCGGAUCAGGUAGGGAUACCCGCUGAACUUAAGCAUAUCAAUAAGCGGAGGA
Molecule: unclassified non-coding RNA, 341 nt
Filed under: soil metagenome
Description: partial contains 5.8S ribosomal RNA, internal transcribed spacer 2, and large subunit ribosomal RNA
Rfam family: 5.8S ribosomal RNA (bases 1-120)
Source: RNAcentral